GGGGAGUGAGAAAGUGCAGUCGUUAGUGGAAGGCCUCUGGAAGGGGUCGCCGUAGAGGGUGAGAGCCCCGUACACGAAAACGCUGCACCUCCCUGUGACGUGUUCCCAAGUAGCACCGAGCCCGUGAAAUUCGGUGUGAAUCUGGCGGGACCACCCGCUAAGCCUGAAUACUCCCUGGUGACCGAUAGCGGACGAGUACCGUGAGGGAAAGGUGAAAAGUACCCCGGGAGGGGAGUGAAAUAGUACCUGAAACCGUGUGCCUACAAGCCGUGAGAGCCGUGAAGCCGCACUUCGUGUGCGGGCGGUGAUUGCGUGCCUUUUGAAGAAUGAGCCUGCGAGUUAGCGGUACGUGGCGAGGUUAACCCGUGGGGGGUAGCCGUAGCGAAAGCGAGUCCGAACAGGGCGGUGGCACUUCGGUGUCGAUAGUCGCGUGCUCUAGACCCGAAGCCGGGUGAUCUACCCAUGGCCAGGUUGAAGCGCGGGUAAGACCGCGUGGAGGACCGAACCCACCAGGGUUGAAAACCUGGGGGAUGAGCUGUGGGUAGGGGUGAAAGGCCAAUCAAACCCGGUGAUAGCUGGUUCUCCCCGAAAUGCAUUUAGGUGCAGCGUCGCGUGUUUCUUGCCGGAGGUAGAGCACUGGAUGGCCGAUGGGCCCCACAAGGUUACUGACGUCAACCAAACUCCGAAUGCCGGUAAGUGAGAGCGCGGCAGUGAGACUGCGGGCGAUAAGGUUCGUAGUCGAGAGGGAAACAGCCCAGAUCAUCGGCUAAGGCCCCUAAGCGUGUGCUAAGUGGAAAAGGAUGUGGGAUCGCAGAGACAACCAGGAGGUUGGCUUAGAAGCAGCCACCCUUGAAAGAGUGCGUAAUAGCUCACUGGUCAAGUGGUUCCGCGCCGACAAUGUAGCGGGGCUCAAGCACACCGCCGAAGCCGUGGCACUCACACGUUGCCCGCCGUCGCCUCAUUCGUGGGGUGCGGCCAGGUGUGUGGGUGGGUAGGGGAGCGUCGUGUGGCGGGUGAAGCGGCGGAGGAAUCCAGCCGUGGACGCCACGCGAGUGAGAAUGCAGGCAUGAGUAGCGAGAGGGGAGUGAGAACCUCCCCCGCCGGAAGACCAAGGGUUCCUGGGCCAGGCUAAUCCGCCCAGGGUGAGUCGGGACCUAAGGCGAGGCCGACAGGCGUAGUCGAUGGACAACGGGUUGAUAUUCCCGUACCCGCGAAGGAACGCCCAUGCUGAACCCAGCGAUGCUGACCCACCGAAACCGCUCGCCCUCUUCGGAGUGCGGGUGGGAGUAGCUGGGGACCCGGACUGGUAGUAGGCAAGCGAUGGGGUGACGCAGGAAGGUAGUCGGGCCGGUGAGUGGUAGUACCGGUGCAAGGGUGUGGCCCGUGGCGUAGGUAAAUCCGCGCCGCAUGCAGGGUGAGGCCUGACGCAUAGCCGAGUGAGGCGAAUCCGAUGAUCCUAUGCUGCCGAGAAAAGCCUCUAGCGAGUUCCGAGCGGCCCGUACCCCAAACCAACUCAGGUGGUCAGGUAGAGAAUACCGAGGCGAUCGAGCGAACUGUGGUUAAGGAACUCGGCAAAAUGCCCCCGUAACUUCGGGAGAAGGGGGACCCUCGCCCGUCAACCGCCUCGCGCGGGGUAGCGGAGGGGGGUCGCAGAGACCAGUGAGAAGCGACUGUUUACUAAAAACACAGGUCCGUGCGAAGUCGUAAGACGAUGUAUACGGACUGACGCCUGCCCGGUGCUGGAACGUUAAGGGGACGGGUUAGUGCGCCUUCGGGUGUGCGAAGCUCAGAACUCAAGCGCCAGUAAACGGCGGUGGUAACUAUAACCAUCCUAAGGUAGCGAAAUUCCUUGUCGGGUAAGUUCCGACCUGCACGAAUGGCGUAACGACUUCUCAGCUGUCUCAACCACAGGCUCGGCGAAAUUGCACUACGAGUAAAGAUGCUCGUUACGCGCGGCAGGACGGAAAGACCCCGGGACCUUCACUACAGCUUGAUAUUGGUGUUCGGUUCGGCUUGUGUAGGAUAGGUGGGAGACUGUGAAGCCGGCACGCCAGUGUCGGUGGAGUCGCCGUUGAAAUACCACUCUGGUCGAAUUGGAUGUCUAACCUCGGUCCGUGAUCCGGAUCAGGAACAGUGUCAGGUGGGUAGUUUAACUGGGGCGGUUGCCUCCCAAAAUGUAACGGAGGCGCCCAAAGGUUCCCUCAGCCUGGUUGGCAAUCAGGUGUCGAGUGCAAGUGCACAAGGGAGCUUGACUGUGAGACCGACGGGUCGAGCAGGAGCGAAAGCUGGGACUAGUGACCCGGCACCGGCAUGUGGAAGCGGUGUCGCUCAACGGAUAAAAGGUACCCCGGGGAUAACAGGCUGAUCUUCCCCAAGAGUCCAUAUCGACGGGAUGGUUUGGCACCUCGAUGUCGGCUCGUCGCAUCCUGGGGCUGGAGUAGGUCCCAAGGGUUGGGCUGUUCGCCCAUUAAAGCGGUACGCGAGCUGGGUUUAGAACGUCGUGAGACAGUUCGGUCCCUAUCCGCCGCGCGCGUAAGAGACUUGAGAAGAGCUGUCCCUAGUACGAGAGGACCGGGACGGACGAACCUCUGGUGUGCCAGUUGUACCGCCAGGUGCACUGCUGGUUGGCUACGUUCGGCAGGGAUAACCGCUGAAAGCAUCUAAGCGGGAAGCUCGCUUCGAGAUGAGGUCUCUCACCCAGUCAAUGGGGUAAGGCCCCCGCCCAGACCAGCGGGUUGAUAGGCCGGAAGUGGAAGCACCGCAAGGUGUGUGAGCUGACCGGUACUAACAGGCCGAGGGCUUGACCA
This 2807-nucleotide ribosomal RNA is filed under the name Geodermatophilus obscurus. Its description in RNAcentral is "bacterial LSU rRNA". It matches the Rfam family "Bacterial large subunit ribosomal RNA", at positions 303 to 2925 of the family's 2925-position model. The record is from RNAcentral. Lineage: Bacteria; Bacillati; Actinomycetota; Actinomycetes; Geodermatophilales; Geodermatophilaceae.